This is a long non-coding RNA of Sardina pilchardus (European sardine), 451 nucleotides long. RefSeq lists it as uncharacterized. The record is from RefSeq and is a predicted model, not a curated record. The transcript is spliced from 3 exons. NCBI's taxonomy places the organism in Eukaryota, Metazoa, Chordata, Actinopteri, Clupeiformes, Clupeidae.
GGAAAACCUGAGGCUGGCCGGACAACUUCCUGUCCCUCUGGAUACAAGCGCUGACUCCAGCAGCAGUGUUCUGGGUGAAACCGGAAAUUAUCACCAAAUGGAGGAAGUAAAAGCUGAAGACCAGGAGCAGUCAGAGGCCCAUGGGGGGGAUUGGCUUGACCAAGCGGAGACGCACAGGGACACCUUUACCCUCAGGUUGCUGGAGCCGGUCUGGCUGGGCCCGGAGUGGGCCAAGAGAAAGAUGCCGCUCUUCUCUGUAUGACCAAAUGAACACCAACUCUUAUUCUUGUUAUGGCACAGGAUAUAAUGCCCCAUGAUGGCAUUGGACAGCUAUCUUGAUAUCAACACUGGAUUACUGCAGUGAAGGAGGCUACUGCUUCUUCUAUUCCAGGGCUAUUUUAUUAUUACAAUUCUGAAUUAUGCAGGUCAAAUUAUGACCUUUAAUGGCCCU